This 839-nucleotide ribosomal RNA is filed under the name Centrolene sp. QCAZ 47338. RNAcentral describes it as "Centrolene sp. QCAZ_47338 partial 16S ribosomal RNA". It matches the Rfam family "Bacterial large subunit ribosomal RNA", at positions 1241 to 2577 of the family's 2925-position model. Lineage: Eukaryota; Metazoa; Chordata; Amphibia; Anura; Centrolenidae. The record is from RNAcentral.
AACUAAUCCCAACACCACUCAAGAACCCUUACACAAUACUGAGUAAUUCUAUACCCCUAUAGAAGAUUUUAUGUUAAAACUAGUAACAAGAAGAAGAACUUCUCCUACGAUGCAAGUGUAAAUCAGACAGGACACCCCGCUGAUAAUUAACACCAAUGAACAAAAGUAGCAACUCAACAAGAAAACCCUACUAUUCCCUAUGUUAACCUAACACCAGAGCAUCACAGGAAAGAUUAAAAGAAAGAAAAGGAACUCGGCAAAUAUUAACCUCGCCUGUUUACCAAAAACAUCGCCUCUUGAUAAAAUAUAAGAGGUCCAGCCUGCCCAGUGACUCUGUUCAACGGCCGCGGUAUCCUAACCGUGCGAAGGUAGCGUAAUCACUUGUUCUUUAAAUGAGGACUAGUAUGAAUGGCACCACGAAGGUUAUACUGUCUCUUCUUUCCAAUCAGUGAAACUAAUCUCCCCGUGAAGAAGCGAGGAUAAAAAUAUAAGACGAGAAGACCCUAUGGAGCUUUAAACCACGCAACACCUGCUUUAACUUAACUAAAUUUCAGAAAACCCCUCUUUAUCCCAGCAGAAUGAUUGCCAGUUUUAGGUUGGGGUGACCGCGGAGCAAAAAACAACCUCCACAUUGAAAGGGCACCUACCCCUUAGCCAAGAGCCACACCUCCACGCACCAAUAAAAUGACAUUAAUUGACCCAAUAUAUUGACCAACGAACCAAGUUACCCUAGGGAUAACAGCGCAAUCCACUUCAAGAGCCCCUAUCGACAAGUGGGUUUACGACCUCGAUGUUGGAUCAGGGUAUCCCGGUGGUGCAGCCGCUACCAAAGGUUCGUU